Long non-coding RNA from Balaenoptera acutorostrata (minke whale), 1006 nucleotides. RefSeq lists it as uncharacterized. The transcript has 2 exons. Lineage: Eukaryota; Metazoa; Chordata; Mammalia; Artiodactyla; Balaenopteridae. The record is from RefSeq and is a predicted model, not a curated record.
GCCACGCAGCUCUGUGUCCCGCCCCUCACGCGAGCCUCACCUCCAUCGCUCGCACAACCUCUAUUAUAGCCUAUGUUCUCCUCCUUGGCCUUUCCCUGCUUUGGACCCGCUCAGUCUUGGCCUCCCGGGGCGGCCAGGGUCCGUGCCCGUGCGCAGACCCCACCCCCACCCCAUGAAGGAACUGGAGGAUGGGUGCAGCUGUCGGAUGGAAACCCCAAAACUCUUGGGCCGAGUCGUGGUGGUCACCACACAGGAACCAUCCCCGCUCCGAACACUGAGAGGACACAGGUUCGAGCCCUGGUCCGGGAAGAUCCCACAUGCCGCGGAGCAACUAAGCCCGUGCACCACAACUACUGAGCCUGCUUUCUAGAGUCCGUGAACCACAACUACUGAGCCCACACGCCACAACUACUGAAGCCCCUGCACCUAGAGCCUCUGCUCGGCAGCAAGAAGCCAGUGCAGUGAGAAGCCUGUGGACCGCAAUGAAUAGACCCCGCUCACAGCAACUAGGGAAAACCCGUGCGCAACAGCCCAAAAAUAAAUAAAUAAAUAAAAUUUAUGUUUAAAAAAAAAAAAAAAGAUUACUGUUUCUUAAAGAAAACCAGGUAUCUCAGGUUGAUGAAUUUAGUGCUUUUCUUUAUAUGGGAAGAUGCAAGAGUCUGGGCUCAUCGAAAUCAUCCCUUUGAUAUGCACCUUACCUAUCUAUGGCCAGUAUCCUUUUCUUUCCCAUCCUGAGUCCCCUGAUGGUGCACCGCUGGGGUUGGCUGCAGUGGCUGAGGGCUUGGGGGGUAAGGGGCAGCCUGUUUGUCUGCAUCCUGAGUUCCCUCAGCGCUCUCCAUAGGAGGCAGUGGUAGCGGCUGAUGACUGCAACAUCCUUUUAUGUUUACUGUUAUAGCAGGCAACAUUUUUCAUUCACAGAACAGUUCCUCAGAGCUACCUGAGAGGCUGUCUCCAGGGCUAUAGUCCUCACUAAGGUCCCUGAAUAAAACAUAACUGGCAACUUUCA